GACGAACGCUGGCGGCGUGCCUAACACAUGCAAGUCAAGGGGAAAGUCACUUUCGGGUGGUGAGUAUACUGGCGGACGGGUGAGUAACGCGUAGGUAACCUGCCCUUAUGUUUGGGAUAACCUUGCGAAAGCGGGGCUAAUACCGGAUAGGGUUCUGGUGGUGCAUGCCACGGGGAUUAAAGUUGCUUGGGGUGACUCAGGUAACGCAUAAGGAUGGGCCUGCGUUCCAUUAGCUAGUUGGUGAGGCAACGGCUCACCAAGGCGACGAUGCGUAGCCGACCUGAGAGGGUGAUCGGCCACAUUGGGACUGAGACACGGCCCAGACUCCUACGGGAGGCUG
RNAcentral lists this ribosomal RNA (340 nucleotides) under uncultured bacterium. RNAcentral describes it as "bacterial SSU rRNA". It matches the Rfam family "Bacterial small subunit ribosomal RNA", at positions 28 to 351 of the family's 1533-position model. The record is from RNAcentral.